RNAcentral lists this ribosomal RNA (253 nucleotides) under uncultured bacterium. RNAcentral's name for it is "partial 16S ribosomal RNA". It matches the Rfam family "Bacterial small subunit ribosomal RNA", at positions 524 to 776 of the family's 1533-position model. The record is from RNAcentral.
UACGAAGGGUGCAAGCGUUACUCGGAAUUACUGGGCGUAAAGGGUGCGUAGGUGGUUUGUUAAGUCUGCUGUGAAAUCCCCGGGCUCAACCUGGGAAUGGCAGUGGAUACUGGCAAGCUAGAGUGCGGUAGAGGGUAGUGGAAUUCCCGGUGUAGCAGUGAAAUGCGUAGAGAUCGGGAGGAACACCAGUGGCGAAGGCGGCUACCUGGACCAGCACUGACACUGAGGCACGAAAGCGUGGGGAGCAAACAGG